AACGAACGCUGGCGGCAUGCCUAACACAUGCAAGUCGAACGAGACCUUCGGGUCUAGUGGCGCACGGGUGCGUAACGCGUGGGAACCUGCCCUUAGGUUCGGAAUAACUCCCCGAAAGGGGUGCUAAUACCGGGUAAUGUCUUCGGACCAAAGAUUUAUCGCCUUUGGAUGGGCCCGCGUUGGAUUAGCUUGUUGGUAGGGUAAAAGCCUACCAAGGCGACGAUCCAUAGCUGGUCUGAGAGGAUGAUCAGCCACACUGGGACUGAGACACGGCCCAGACUCCUACGGGAGGCAGGAGUGGGGAAUAUUGGACAAUGGGCGAAAGCCUGAUCCAGCAAUGCCGCGUGAGUGAUGAAGGCCUUAGGGUUGUAAAGCUCUUUUACCCGGGAUGAUAAUGACAGUACCGAGAGAAUAAGCUCCGGCUAACUCCGUG
RNAcentral lists this ribosomal RNA (433 nucleotides) under uncultured bacterium. RNAcentral's name for it is "partial 16S ribosomal RNA". It matches the Rfam family "Bacterial small subunit ribosomal RNA", at positions 29 to 507 of the family's 1533-position model. The record is from RNAcentral.